GGGAGGGAGCAGCUUUAAAACUCCCAAACCGAACCACCACUUAUACAUCAUCGGGCUCUAGAAAUUCCUUCUUGGCUGACUCACCACAGAAAAGGUUAUGCCAGCUCCCCCGCCAUUUCCCCCCUCGGCUGGGGGAUAGGAAGACAGAGGCGGUGAGCAAGCCCAUCUUCCUCCAUUUUCCUCCAAGGCACAGUCAGCCUGAAAAAAGAACCACCUUCUCUACUCCCACCGUGGCUGGGUCUCUCUGGGUCCUAGAGAGAGCUGGGUUUGGCAGACUCCCGGAGAUGGGGAAACAGAGGCACAGAAGUUCACCAACUUGUAAGCAGCAGAGCUGA
This 335-nucleotide long non-coding RNA is filed under the name Mustela putorius furo (domestic ferret). RNAcentral describes it as "lncRNA (ENSMPUG00000024043.1)". Lineage: Eukaryota; Metazoa; Chordata; Mammalia; Carnivora; Mustelidae. The record is from RNAcentral.